UACAGAGGGUGCAAGCGUUGUUCGGAAUCACUGGGCUUAAAGGGCGCGUAGGCGGGCUCACAAGUCAGGGGUGAAAGCCCACGGCUCAACCGUGGAAGUGCCUUUGAUACUGUGGGUCUUGAGGGAGGUAGGGGCGUGCGGAACUUCCGGUGGAGCGGUGAAAUGCGUAGAUAUCGGAAGGAACACCGGUGGCGAAAGCGGCGCGCUGGACCUCCACUGACGCUGAGGCGCGAAAGCCAGGGGAGCAAACGGG
This 253-nucleotide ribosomal RNA is filed under the name uncultured bacterium. RNAcentral describes it as "partial 16S ribosomal RNA". It matches the Rfam family "Bacterial small subunit ribosomal RNA", at positions 524 to 776 of the family's 1533-position model. The record is from RNAcentral.